Molecule: ribosomal RNA, 1542 nt
Filed under: Salmonella enterica
Lineage: Bacteria; Pseudomonadati; Pseudomonadota; Gammaproteobacteria; Enterobacterales; Enterobacteriaceae
Also listed under: 1 other name
Description: 16S ribosomal RNA
Rfam family: Bacterial small subunit ribosomal RNA
Source: RNAcentral
AAAUUGAAGAGUUUGAUCAUGGCUCAGAUUGAACGCUGGCGGCAGGCCUAACACAUGCAAGUCGAACGGUAACAGGAAGCAGCUUGCUGCUUUGCUGACGAGUGGCGGACGGGUGAGUAAUGUCUGGGAAACUGCCUGAUGGAGGGGGAUAACUACUGGAAACGGUGGCUAAUACCGCAUAACGUCGCAAGACCAAAGAGGGGGACCUUCGGGCCUCUUGCCAUCAGAUGUGCCCAGAUGGGAUUAGCUUGUUGGUGAGGUAACGGCUCACCAAGGCGACGAUCCCUAGCUGGUCUGAGAGGAUGACCAGCCACACUGGAACUGAGACACGGUCCAGACUCCUACGGGAGGCAGCAGUGGGGAAUAUUGCACAAUGGGCGCAAGCCUGAUGCAGCCAUGCCGCGUGUAUGAAGAAGGCCUUCGGGUUGUAAAGUACUUUCAGCGGGGAGGAAGGUGUUGUGGUUAAUAACCACAGCAAUUGACGUUACCCGCAGAAGAAGCACCGGCUAACUCCGUGCCAGCAGCCGCGGUAAUACGGAGGGUGCAAGCGUUAAUCGGAAUUACUGGGCGUAAAGCGCACGCAGGCGGUCUGUCAAGUCGGAUGUGAAAUCCCCGGGCUCAACCUGGGAACUGCAUUCGAAACUGGCAGGCUUGAGUCUUGUAGAGGGGGGUAGAAUUCCAGGUGUAGCGGUGAAAUGCGUAGAGAUCUGGAGGAAUACCGGUGGCGAAGGCGGCCCCCUGGACAAAGACUGACGCUCAGGUGCGAAAGCGUGGGGAGCAAACAGGAUUAGAUACCCUGGUAGUCCACGCCGUAAACGAUGUCUACUUGGAGGUUGUGCCCUUGAGGCGUGGCUUCCGGAGCUAACGCGUUAAGUAGACCGCCUGGGGAGUACGGCCGCAAGGUUAAAACUCAAAUGAAUUGACGGGGGCCCGCACAAGCGGUGGAGCAUGUGGUUUAAUUCGAUGCAACGCGAAGAACCUUACCUGGUCUUGACAUCCACAGAAGAAUCCAGAGAUGGAUUUGUGCCUUCGGGAACUGUGAGACAGGUGCUGCAUGGCUGUCGUCAGCUCGUGUUGUGAAAUGUUGGGUUAAGUCCCGCAACGAGCGCAACCCUUAUCCUUUGUUGCCAGCGGUCCGGCCGGGAACUCAAAGGAGACUGCCAGUGAUAAACUGGAGGAAGGUGGGGAUGACGUCAAGUCAUCAUGGCCCUUACGACCAGGGCUACACACGUGCUACAAUGGCGCAUACAAAGAGAAGCGACCUCGCGAGAGCAAGCGGACCUCAUAAAGUGCGUCGUAGUCCGGAUUGGAGUCUGCAACUCGACUCCAUGAAGUCGGAAUCGCUAGUAAUCGUGGAUCAGAAUGCCACGGUGAAUACGUUCCCGGGCCUUGUACACACCGCCCGUCACACCAUGGGAGUGGGUUGCAAAAGAAGUAGGUAGCUUAACCUUCGGGAGGGCGCUUACCACUUUGUGAUUCAUGACUGGGGUGAAGUCGUAACAAGGUAACCGUAGGGGAACCUGCGGUUGGAUCACCUCCUUA